This 1104-nucleotide ribosomal RNA is filed under the name Triticum aestivum (bread wheat). Its description in RNAcentral is "partial small subunit ribosomal RNA". The record is from RNAcentral. Lineage: Eukaryota; Viridiplantae; Streptophyta; Magnoliopsida; Poales; Poaceae.
AUGUUCAUGAUAGCUGGCCGCUAUGGAAGAGGAACAUCAGAAGAACCAAGGCAAACAAAUCAUGAUAACACAGGGCGAGUUUUGGUUGAACAAAAUCAGGAGCCUUCCCCGUUUGUUGACAACACAAAUAUACAAGGACUGCAUGAUUUGAUCUGGGAAACUGAUGAACCUGAUUGUGCACAGAAGCAGCCUUCAGACAAUGAACUUGACAGUGAUAGUGAAUCAGAUCAUAACCUUGGACUGCAUCAAAGAGAAGGUGAUAUGGAUGUUGAUAUUGUGGAACAACAACAUAACAAUGAGACGGGAGUUCAAGUUGAACAACUUUCACAAGAUGACAUCCUCAUAUUUCUUGAAAAUGAAAGCAUAAAAAAUGCUCAGACUUGCAGCCAUGAAGUUCGUAGCCAUCAUGUGCCAACUAUUGACAUGGUUUUUGACAACCAAGAAGCAGCUUAUAGCUUCUACAACGAGUAUGCAAGCAUAUGUGGUUUCUCUGUAAAGAGGGCAGCAUCCUUUUGUGCAAAAAAGGAAGGUGGCAAUGCACUAACAAGAAUCACUUUGAAGUGUAACCGAUCUGGACGUGCAAUUGGAGAGGAAGAAAAGGAAGCAAGGUUGAAAAAACGACGAGAAACUAGACAGGCAAAAACAGGCCAGGUCCCGCAUGAGAACCCCAGGAAAAAGAAAACAAACACCAUUGAGAUAACUGGUUGUAAGGCUCAGCUUAUUAUCACAAAGAAGGCAGACAAGUGGGUUGUUACAACAAUCAACCUCGAGCAUAACCAUGAGUUGAGCCCUCAUACAGAGUCAAAGUACCUCCGUUCACAUAACUACAUGACAGAAGAGGAGAAGAUCCUUAUCCGUACAUUCAAUGCUGUGAAGCUACCAACAAGGAAAAUAAUGACCAUCCUGAGCUUCUUGAGAGGUGGCAACACUCCUUACACUAAGAAACACGUCAGCAAUGUGAGGACAUCAAUUGGCAAAGAAACUAACCAGAAUGAUAUGAUGCAAGUACUGACUUACUUCAGGAAAAGGCAGGCGGAAGAUCCAAGGUUCUAUUAUGCAUUUAAGACAGUUAAAGUUUCUGAUGAGGCAAGCAAAGUGUUAUGA